This is a long non-coding RNA of Clupea harengus (Atlantic herring), 2417 nucleotides long. RefSeq lists it as uncharacterized. NCBI's taxonomy places the organism in Eukaryota, Metazoa, Chordata, Actinopteri, Clupeiformes, Clupeidae. The record is from RefSeq and is a predicted model, not a curated record.
CUCUCUCUUUUUCUCUCUCACUUUCUCUUUCUCUCUCACUUUCUCUCUCUCUCUCUCUUUGGUCUGUGGUGGUCCAUCUUUCCCUUUUCAGCACAGUUAGACUUGUGCUCUUUUGUCUUUUUAAUACAACUUGUUUGCUCUGGAACAGCACUAAGCCAAUCCCCCUGGCGUACUCUGGUUCCAGCCACAGCCAUACGUGUAUGAAAGUGGGGAAUGUCACGGUUGAAAUCAGAUUAUCUGGGUUCGUGCCUUCACCCCAUUUUUUGUAGUGCUGUUGGAAGGACCCCAUGUACAACAUUCCCUUUCAUCUAUGAUUCUGCAGGGCCUGCCAAUCAUCUGUCUCUCCCGCCUAAUGGGUUUCACAGCACUGCCCAGCUGGUGAUAUCAUUUCAACAACAUAAUUUGUUUUCCCCAAAAACAACAGUUCUCUUCCAAUAUGGAGAAAACAAAUAAAAGACUAUUAGAAUUCUGCUUCCAAUAAUGAACUAGAUUAAUAGAAAAAUAAAAUAAACUCAAAGUAAUUCUCAAAAGAGCAAUAAACAGAGAUCAUCUGUGAUGACUUAGUAUCUGGGUCCUGUGAUUGAUUUCAGGCUGCUGUAACAGAUACAAUGUGUCACUUUAAAAGACCAGCGGCUACACAUUGAUUACGCGCAGCAAGGCCAAUGACCUGUGUUGCAUGCUGGGAAAUCCAGCUGUGCCUCUACUGACCGUAUUCAUCCAUCUCAUGCUGCCCCACCCCCGUCACCACUUCCUCUGCUACACACACACCCCACCCCUGUCCCCAGCAGUAUCCUUGGAGGAUGGCAAAAGUGUGUGUGUGAGCGGAAAAAAAAAGAAAUCUAGACGUGGGUGUGAUGUCAUUUUGACUCCCCUCUCCUCCAGUAGCAGGCUACGCAUAGAGAGCUGGAGAGAGAAGAGGGGGAGAUGAGACUGGAAGGAGGCGCUUAGGAGGUUGCAGGGGAAGACAUGUAAAAAGACAGGAACAGGGCCUAAGAAAAACCUCUGGAUGUCACCUAAGAGGCACUCCCUCCACUGUCAUUCCUGCUGGAGGCUCCACCAACACGUCUGGACUGCACCUGGGCGUCCAACGCACGGAGAGGGAGAGAGUCCAGGGGCACCUACAGUUAAGCUUUCCGUCGGAUGAUUCACUCUCAUCAUUCCCGCCUUACUACUACUGUAACAGUGAGGGUGUGGAUGCAAUGGAUACAGAGUGACGGUGCGUGUUUCCAACAUCUGAGCACUCCUAGCUUUACCAGAGGAAGGUUACCGAGAGAGAGUGAGCAGAGAGCAGAGAGAACGAGAGAUAUUUGAUCCACAGGGAAAGAGGAGGAUCCAUGUUUUCGUGUCAGCGCAGCUGGUGGUGAUGAGCUCCUGUAAAUAUUUACCUCGCGCCCGUCUGCGGUCUGAAUCAGCACCGGGAGCUGCGCCGCUGAACCCGUGAACUCUGCACUCCCGCCAACCUUCUCUGGCAGCCCCAGGCGCCGCACCCGAGCGAGGCAGACGAGGCAGACGCACACGAAGCGGGUCUGCCUGUGUGACUGACUGACUGACUGACUGACUGCCAGCCUACCUGACUGACUGACGUCUCCGCGCUUCAUCUUCCCGCUCACACUCUCUCUCUCUCUCUCUGCUUCACAGCUCCUUCAUCCAGUCAACCAGCUGUGAAACCUCGGGGCUAAACGCCUUGACAACAGGAGUGCCCUGGACAACACACCAGUCAGACAAACACAGCCAUACUGUCACCUUUCCCCAGUCACACAGUCUCAGACUUUCACCAGUGUAUGUGUAAUGUCUGUCUGUGUGUGUGUGUGUGUGUGUGUGUGUGUCAGAUAAUCUGGGUGCUCACAGCUUAGUGUCUAAGGUGAAUCAGUGGGGGUGUCACAGUCGUGAAGCACCAGAGAUUCCAGAUGUCUGUUAGAGCUUAUUUACUGCUAUCAGAAAACAGACCAGAAGCUGUUUUGUGGUUUUGAAGGGACAGGGAAGAGUGUGUGUGAGAGUGUAUCUAAUGUGUGAGUAAGACAGCAUUUAAAAAAAGCUCAGUGUGUGUGAGUGUGUAUGUCAGUCUGUCUGUCUGUCUGUCUCUGUGUGUGUGAUAGACACGAUGGGUUGUGCCAUCUGCACUCAGCUCGUGGACAUGUGUAGGGGGUUCACAUGGAAGAGGGGUCGGAGCGCCAGGCCAGCGGUCGCGGAGGUGCCCCCCCUGGAGUACCACCGGCUCUCCGGCCUCCACUACACCUCCUCCUUCUCCGACGCAGAGGACUGCUGCGAUGACCUCAGCUCCAUCAGCACCUCCUCGUCCUCUGAUUACCUAGAAACUGAAUACUUGGCUGAUUUGGAGGAAUGACACACAGGCUUGUGACACUUGUCAUUUGCAUCAUAUGCACUUCACUUGAAUAAAUGAUUAAGAUGAAAACUAA